RNAcentral lists this ribosomal RNA (243 nucleotides) under uncultured bacterium. RNAcentral's name for it is "partial 16S ribosomal RNA". It matches the Rfam family "Bacterial small subunit ribosomal RNA", at positions 793 to 1034 of the family's 1533-position model. The record is from RNAcentral.
GUCCACGCUGUAAACGAUGUCUACUAGCCGUCGGGGUCCUUAGUGACUUUGGUGGCGCAGCUAACGCGAUAAGUAGACCGCCUGGGGAGUACGGCCGCAAGGUUAAAACUCAAAUGAAUUGACGGGGGCCCGCACAAGCGGUGGAGCAUGUGGUUUAAUUCGAUGCAACGCGAAGAACCUUACCAGGUCUUGACAUCCUCGGAAUUUGGCAGAGAUGCCUUAGUGCCUUCGGGAGCCGAGUGA